CCACCUACACAUGCCACAUGAAGGGCAUUUCUACUCUUCUCAUCUUUUAGUGUAAGAUCAGCUCCCUUUGACACGAGCAGGUCGACAACAUCCUUCUUCCCAUGAAAAGCUGCUACCAUCAAAGGUGUCCAACCCUCUUGUCCCCGACAAUUGAUGUCAAACAGUGGAAGCAGAUCUUCUACAAUGCCACUAUUUCCACCCUGACAUGCCAGAUGAAGGGCAUUUCUACUCUUCUCAUCUUUUAGUGUAAGAUCAGCUGCC
Haliotis rubra (blacklip abalone) is the source of this 261-nucleotide long non-coding RNA. RefSeq lists it as uncharacterized. Lineage: Eukaryota; Metazoa; Mollusca; Gastropoda; Lepetellida; Haliotidae. The record is from RefSeq and is a predicted model, not a curated record. The transcript is spliced from 3 exons.